Molecule: ribosomal RNA, 423 nt
Filed under: uncultured bacterium
Lineage: Bacteria
Description: bacterial SSU rRNA
Rfam family: Bacterial small subunit ribosomal RNA
Source: RNAcentral
AAGACCUUGCACUUUUGGAGCGGCCGAUGUCUGAUUAGCUAGUUGGUGGGGUAAUGGCCUACCAAAGCUUCGAUCAGUAGCUGGUCUGAGAGGACGGCCAGCCACACUGGGACUGAGACACGGCCCAGACUCCUACGGGAGGCAGCAGUGGGGAAUUUUGGACAAUGGGCGCAAGCCUGAUCCAGCAAUGCCGCGUGAGUGAAGAAGGCCUUCGGGUUGUAAAGCUCUUUCAGUCGAGAAGAAAAAGCUGCAGUGAAUAACUGUAGUUCAUGACGGUAUCGACAGAAGAAGCACCGGCUAACUACGUGCCAGCAGCCGCGGUAAUACGUAGGGUGCGAGCGUUAAUCGGAAUUACUGGGCGUAAAGGGUGCGCAGGCGGCUUUGUAAGUCAGAUGUGAAAUCCCCGGGCUUAACCUGGGAAUU